Molecule: ribosomal RNA, 624 nt
Filed under: Mesorhizobium sp. D701
Lineage: Bacteria; Pseudomonadati; Pseudomonadota; Alphaproteobacteria; Hyphomicrobiales; Phyllobacteriaceae
Description: bacterial SSU rRNA
Rfam family: Bacterial small subunit ribosomal RNA
Source: RNAcentral
CCUGCUUGCAGGGAGCGGCAGACGGGUGAGUAAUGCAUGGGAAUCUACCCAGCUCUACGGAAUAACUCAGGGAAACUUGAACUAAUACCGUAUGCGCCCUUCGGGGGAAAGAUUUAUCGGAGUUGGAUGAGCCCAUGUCUGAUUAGCUAGUUGGUGGGGUAAAGGCCUACCAAGGCGACGAUCAGUAGCUGGUCUGAGAGGAUGAUCAGCCACACUGGGACUGAGACACGGCCCAGACUCCUACGGGAGGCAGCAGUGGGGAAUAUUGGACAAUGGGGGCAACCCUGAUCCAGCCAUGCCGCGUGAGUGAUGAAGGCCCUAGGGUUGUAAAGCUCUUUCACCGGUGAAGAUAAUGACGGUAACCGGAGAAGAAGCCCCGGCUAACUUCGUGCCAGCAGCCGCGGUAAUACGAAGGGGGCUAGCGUUGUUCGGAAUUACUGGGCGUAAAGCGCGCGUAGGCGGAUCGGUCAGUUAGGGGUGAAAUCCCGGGGCUCAACCCCGGAACUGCCUCUAAUACUGCCGAUCUAGAGUUCGAGAGAGGUGAGUGGAAUUCCGAGUGUAGAGGUGAAAUUCGUAGAUAUUCGGAGGAACACCAGUGGCGAAGGCGGCUCACUGGCUCGAUAC